This 464-nucleotide ribosomal RNA is filed under the name uncultured bacterium. RNAcentral describes it as "partial 16S ribosomal RNA". It matches the Rfam family "Bacterial small subunit ribosomal RNA", at positions 28 to 507 of the family's 1533-position model. The record is from RNAcentral.
GACGAACGCUGGCGGCGUGCUUAACACAUGCAAGUCGAACGGUAAGGCCCUUUCGGGGGUACACGAGUGGCGAACGGGUGAGUAACACGUGGGUGAUCUGCCCUGCACUUUGGGAUAAGCCUGGGAAACUGGGUCUAAUACCGGAUAGGACUACGCGAUGCAUGUCGUGUGGUGGAAAGCUUUUGCGGUGUGGGAUGGGCCCGCGGCCUAUCAGCUUGUUGGUGGGGUGAUGGCCUACCACGGCGACGACGGGUAGCCGGCCUGAGAGGGUGUCCGGCCACACUGGGACUGAGAUACGGCCCAGACUCCUACGGGAGGCAGCAGUGGGGAAUAUUGCACAAUGGGCGCAAGCCUGAUGCAGCGACGCCGCGUGGGGGAUGACGGCCUUCGGGUUGUAAACCCCUUUCAGCACAGACGAAGCGUAAGUGACGGUAUGUGCAGAAGAAGCACCGGCCAACUACGUG